RNAcentral lists this ribosomal RNA (243 nucleotides) under uncultured bacterium. RNAcentral's name for it is "partial 16S ribosomal RNA". It matches the Rfam family "Bacterial small subunit ribosomal RNA", at positions 534 to 776 of the family's 1533-position model. The record is from RNAcentral.
GCUAGCGUUGUUCGGAAUUACUGGGCGUAAAGCGCACGUAGGCGGCUUUGUAAGUUAGAGGUGAAAGCCCGGGGCUCAACUCCGGAACUGCCUUUAAGACUGCAUCGCUUGAAUCCAGGAGAGGUGAGUGGAAUUCCGAGUGUAGAGGUGAAAUUCGUAGAUAUUCGGAAGAACACCAGUGGCGAAGGCGGCUCACUGGACUGGUAUUGACGCUGAGGUGCGAAAGCGUGGGGAGCAAACAGG